AUUGAACGCUGGCGGCAGGCCUGACACAUGCAAGUCGAGCGGAUGAAGGGAGCUUGCUCCUGGAUUCAGCGGCGGACGGGUGAGUAAUGCCUAGGAAUCUGCCUGGUAGUGGGGGAUAACGUCCGGAAACGGGCGCUAAUACCGCAUACGUCCUGAGGGAGAAAGUGGGGGAUCUUCAGAACUCACGCUAUCAGAUGAGCCUAGGUCGGAUUAGCUAGUUGGUGGGGUAAAGGCCUACCAAGGCGACGAUCCGUAACUGGUCUGAGAGGAUGAUCAGUCACACUGGAACUGAGACACGGUCCAGACUCCUACGGGAGGCAGCAGUGGGGAAUAUUGGACAAUGGGCGAAAGCCUGAUCCAGCCAUGCCGCGUGUGUGAAGAAGGUCUUCGGAUUGUAAAGCACUUUAAGUUGGGAGGAAGGGCAGUAAGUUAAUACCUUGCUGUUUUGACGUUACCAACAGAAUAAGCACCGGCUAACUUCGUG
RNAcentral lists this ribosomal RNA (484 nucleotides) under uncultured bacterium. RNAcentral's name for it is "partial 16S ribosomal RNA". It matches the Rfam family "Bacterial small subunit ribosomal RNA", at positions 30 to 507 of the family's 1533-position model. The record is from RNAcentral.